This 253-nucleotide ribosomal RNA is filed under the name uncultured bacterium. Its description in RNAcentral is "partial 16S ribosomal RNA". It matches the Rfam family "Bacterial small subunit ribosomal RNA", at positions 524 to 776 of the family's 1533-position model. The record is from RNAcentral.
UACAGAGGGGGCAAGCGUUGUUCGGAAUUACUGGGCGUAAAGGGCGCGUAGGCGGCCUGUUAAGUCGAACGUGAAAUCCCCGGGCUCAACCCGGGAACUGCGUCCGAUACUGGCAGGCUUGAAUCCGGGAGAGGGAUGCGGAAUUCCAGGUGUAGCGGUGAAAUGCGUAGAUAUCUGGAGGAACACCGGUGGCGAAGGCGGCAUCCUGGACCAAUACUGACGCUGAGGAGCGAAAGCCAGGGGAGCAAACGGG